This is a non-coding RNA of Cinara cedri, 402 nucleotides long. The record is from the annotation of a GenBank genome assembly. Lineage: Eukaryota; Metazoa; Arthropoda; Insecta; Hemiptera; Aphididae.
GUUUUAAUAGUUCAAUAUUAAAUAUUGUUAUUUCCCUGACAUUUUUCUCGAUAUUAAACCAAGCAGCUAAUAUUUUCCUAGAAUUUAUAUUGAGAACAACCUAUUGUACAAGGGAUCCCACUACAGAUUUUCCAUUAUAAUAUGCAAAUUAUACAUUUUCCAGAAUCGUCUGAAAUGAAAUUUGAUUACCCGCUAAACAAUAACUAUUAUUAUUAUUACUCAUAGAAUGUUAUUUCAAGUAAUAUUAUGUUUAAUGUGGGUAUACUGCAGAGCAUACUCGCUGUAUAUGUCAGGCUUAAUUAUUAAUUUAUCAUUAUUUAAAUUUCAAACUAAAUUAUAUUCAUGCACUUCAAAAUCAACGAGAAUAAAUAUUAUUGGCUUUAACUAUUAUUAAUAUCCCUG